UACGAAGGGGGCUAGCGUUGUUCGGAAUUACUGGGCGUAAAGCGCGUGUAGGCGGGUCUUUAAGUCAGGGGUGAAAUCCCGGAGCUCAACUUCGGAACUGCCCUUGAUACAGCACGUCUUGAGUCCGGAAGAGGUGGGUGGAAUUCCUAGUGUAGAGGUGAAAUUCGUAGAUAUUCGCAAGAACACCAGUGGCGAAGGCGGCUCACUGGCCCGGUACUGACGCUGAGGUGCGAAAGCGUGGGGAGCAAACAGG
Molecule: ribosomal RNA, 253 nt
Filed under: uncultured bacterium
Lineage: Bacteria
Description: partial 16S ribosomal RNA
Rfam family: Bacterial small subunit ribosomal RNA
Source: RNAcentral